GUGAAUCAUCGAAUCUUUGAACGCAAAUUGCGCUCUUGGUAUUACCGGGAGCAUGUUUGUCUGAGUGUCAUUUAAAUAACCUCACCUCUUUGGUUUGAAAAAAUCAAAACGGUGGAUAUGAGGCGGUCACGGACCUUUGUCAUUCAAAGUUCGCGUCCCUUCAAAUUGCGAGACGCGCAAAAAUUAAGCCUUGCUUUUUCAACAUGGCUUACGCUCAAACUCUAGGUGUGACAAUUUGCUCGAAUGCGUAGCACUUUUUAAACGCCGCGAGUCGGGUGUGAGUCGAGAAAGCGUGUCUUU
This 300-nucleotide unclassified non-coding RNA is filed under the name uncultured fungus. RNAcentral's name for it is "sequence contains 5.8S rRNA gene, ITS2". The stretch from base 1 to 70 matches the Rfam family "5.8S ribosomal RNA", at positions 84 to 154 of the family's 154-position model. Lineage: Eukaryota; Fungi. The record is from RNAcentral.